This 1811-nucleotide unclassified non-coding RNA is filed under the name Neodiprion lecontei (redheaded pine sawfly). Its description in RNAcentral is "fAM172 family protein homolog CG10038, transcript variant X4". The record is from RNAcentral. Lineage: Eukaryota; Metazoa; Arthropoda; Insecta; Hymenoptera; Diprionidae.
GAGAUUCGAAAUGAGUGUUUCAGAUGCCACAUUUUACAAAUGAUCGCAAGCAACCUGACAAACACCACGCACCCAAGUAUCGUCGGUAACGUCGUCAAACAUGUUGAGCAUGCGAUAGGAGCUGGUGUGGCGAUUCCGUCCGCGAGGUGGCUCUACCUCAAGUGAUCUGCGAGAAUCAAAAACGCGGCAAGACUACACGCCUGUAUUUCUGUAGUAUUUUUCAGUCCCAUGUUUAGGGUGAUACGUCGCAUUUUUAGCAGUAUUGUGAACUGGGAGUUUACGAAACUGGCAGUAAUGACUGAUCCUGUAUUUCCUACAACGCUGAAAGAUUUUGGAUACGCUUUUGAUGAAGGCGGGAAACUUCGAAAGCUUGAUCAAAGCACCGGCCUCACUACUGACGGUGGAUUCGAGUUUAACGUUACCGAAGACCAUGCUUACAAUCAGAAACGAUACGAAGCGCUCGGUCAGGUAAUUGAUUUGCACAUCUAUGACCUCCUAGAGAAAGAAGGUCUGAAAAAAUUGUUCGUGCCGAAGGAGGCGUCGUCAAAGGCACCGGAGCUAAAGUCGUUCAUAUUCGUUAGCGAAGACGCAUUGCUGAACGACAAGCUUAUGAUAUUGAUACAUGGCAGCGGAGUUGUAAGAGCCGGUCAAUGGGCAAGGCGAUUAAUUAUAAACGACAAUCUAGAGACCGGCACGCAGUUGCCUUACAUAAGAAAAGCACGAGAGCUUGGAUACGCGGUAAUGGUUCUCAACACAAACGACAAUUUCCGUACCGUAAACGGAAAGCCGACUGAAAUACCGGGUAGCAAGGAUCCUCAUAGUCACGUCGAAACCGUCUGGAAGCAGUACAUCGAGCCCUCGAAUGCGAAGCACGUAGCAAUCGUUGCGCACAGCUACGGUGGCGUUUGCGUCGUUAAAUUGGCCGUAGACCAUGCGGAAGAAUUUCGACGCAGAGUAUUUGCCGUCGGACUAACCGACUCUGUGCACAUGAUUACUUCAGCAAAAGACACAAAACACAUUUUGAAGGUGGCGCGAAAUUGGGUAUCCUCAGAGAAGCCCCUGGACACCCCGGAGCGAUCGCCUGACGGUGACAUCGAACGGUGUUCUGCGGGACAUGCGAUCCACGAGAUGACGUCGUACUCCUGCAUGGAGUCCCUUUUCCAAUUCGUAGAGGAGAGGUUCAACGAGGCGAGAGGAAAAUCCGAUCUCUGAACGAUUCCGCAUCUCCAGUUUACGAUUUUGUCUUCAUAUUUUUUUUUUUUUUUUUACACUAUAAUAUUCCUUUUUUUUUUUUUAUCAUCACUACCGACAGACGAGGGGAUGCAGGGAAAUAUCAACUGUGUACCUCAACGGUAGAACUUGGCGGACACAAAACAGUCCUGCCAUCGUGCAAGCGUCAAAGCGUAAUUUCGUUAUGGGGUUGUAAUUGUAUUACCGGCGUUCUCGGCCGGCGGCACAAAUUAUAGUGUCAAUGUAACGACAAAGGGCAUGAUGUUACACAAUAAUAAAAUGAUUGCCUUAGUCGGUGAGAAUAACCUUCCGAAAAACUGACGCACCCUGCUCGUUAUUACUUAUACGUGAAUAUACGCAUCUGCCGUGCGAGGAUUUAAUUAUCUAUGUAAAAACUAUUACGUACAUGCAAUAUUUAUGUGUAUAUGGGAUCGAAAUUUUUCAUCAAAUCGUUUUUAAAUCAUCGGCGAUAACGAAGGAAGGAAAAUUUAUAACUGAAAUUGAAAGGAGAUAAAAUCUUUUACCGCAUCCCGACAAAUAUAGUAAUUUUCAAGAAUCGCAAUGAAAAUACAUAUCUGAUA